This 440-nucleotide ribosomal RNA is filed under the name uncultured bacterium. RNAcentral describes it as "partial 16S ribosomal RNA". It matches the Rfam family "Bacterial small subunit ribosomal RNA", at positions 338 to 795 of the family's 1533-position model. The record is from RNAcentral.
CCUACGGGUGGCAGCAGUAGGGAAUAUUGCUCAAUGGGGGAAACUCUGAAGCAGCAACGCCGCGUGGAGGAUGAAGGUCUUAGGAUUGUAAACCCCUUUUGUGAGAGAAGAUAAUGACGGUAUCUCACGAAUAAGCACCGGCUAACUCCGUCCCAGCAGCCGCGGUAAUACGGAGGGUGCAAGCGUUACUCGGAAUCACUGGGCGUUAAGAGUGCGCAGGCGGGCUGGUAAGUCAGAUGUGAAAUCCUGUAGCUUAACUACAGAACUGCAAUUGAAACUAUGAGUCUAGAGUGUGGGAGAGGUAGGUGGAAUUCUUGGUGUAGGGGUAAAAUGCGUAGAUAUCAAGAGGAAUACUCAUUGCGAAGGCGACCUACUGGAACAUUACUGACGCUCAUGCACGAAAGCGUGGGGAGCAAACAGGAGUAGAUACCCGAGUAGUC